CUUGCAGUUGCUUGACCGUGUCAUCUUCGUUUUUGCAAAGAGAUAAUCCUACUCUCAUUUCUAUUAUUUUGGUUUCCGAUUCAGUAUCUCAACCUAAAGUAGUUCAACAAAUAAAGAGACCGUUUUCAGAAAGAAUGAUCCAUGGAAAAAGCAAUAUCCUCCUCCUGGCCCCAAUUUUCUUCAAGGUUGAAAUAUAUAUAUAUAUAUAUGUGUGUGUGUGAUGGCAGCAUCAAGAGUAGAACGAUUCUUGUAUUUUCCCUCACCAUCUUCUUGCUGAAUAUAUAUAUAUAUAUGUGUGUGUGUGUGUGUGUGUGUGUGUGAUGGCAGCAUCAAGAGUAGAACGAUUCUUGUAUUUUACCUCACCGUCUUCUUGCUGAUUUUUCUUGACCGUAGAAAAAGAGGCUAUCCAUCAAGAAGAGAAACAAGCGCUUGCAGUUCCUAAGGGGCGGAUGUAACAUUAUAGGGAUGGGUUCAAUUAAAAUUGACUGUCUUGUAGAACAAAAGUAGACCUCCACACUAAGGUUUCCACAAAUUUAGGCAUUUGUAUCCCUGUAUUGGUACCAUGAAGUACGAAGAUCUGCUUGACGGAACGGAUCAUCUCUUUGCACUCAUAUAGUUACUCCCAAAAUGGUCAUCCAUGAUGUAUGCCAAGAAGAAUCUGCUCUAUAUCAGUGCAAGAAUCUCACAUCCACUACACAUUUAUUCUUUGGAUAAUACACUUGACAGAUAGGAUCAUCUCUGUUAGACUGUUCCCCACAGGUUUUACGAUUGACCUAUUGCCUCCUACUAUGGCCUUGAAAACCCUUGCCUCAUAAAUUAACUUGAGUUGAAUUAGGUCCAAAGUCUAUUUUCUUAACAAGGUACCAAAGUCAGACCCAUCACUAUUCUC
This 889-nucleotide long non-coding RNA is filed under the name Nicotiana benthamiana. Its description in RNAcentral is "long non-coding RNA (NBEN_LNC039763)". Lineage: Eukaryota; Viridiplantae; Streptophyta; Magnoliopsida; Solanales; Solanaceae. The record is from RNAcentral.